GACGAACGCUGGCGGCGUGCUUAACACAUGCAAGUCGAACGGAAAGGCCUCUUUCGGGGGGUACUCGAGUGGCGAACGGGUGAGUAACACGUGAGUAACCUGCCCUCUACUUUGUGAUAACUUCAGAAAACUGGGGCGAAUACCCCAUAUAGGCUCCUGCUGCAUGUUGGGGGUUGUGGAGUUUCGGCGGUUGGGGGUGGACUCGCGGCGUAUCUGCUUGUUGGGGGGGGGGUGGGUUACCAAGGGUUUGACGGGUAGCCGGGCUGGGAGGGUGAACGGCCACAUUGGGACUGAGGUACGGGCCAGACUCCUACGGGAGGGAGCAGGGGGGAAUAUUGCACAAUGGGUGGAAGCCUGAUGGAGCAAAGCCGGGGGCGGGAUGACGGCCUUUGGGUUGGAAACCGGUUUCGCUCAUGACGAAGCUUUGUGUGACGGUAGUGGGUAAAGAAGCACCGGCUAACUACGUG
RNAcentral lists this ribosomal RNA (467 nucleotides) under uncultured bacterium. Its description in RNAcentral is "partial 16S ribosomal RNA". It matches the Rfam family "Bacterial small subunit ribosomal RNA", at positions 28 to 507 of the family's 1533-position model. The record is from RNAcentral.